RNAcentral lists this non-coding RNA (45 nucleotides) under Schistosoma margrebowiei. Lineage: Eukaryota; Metazoa; Platyhelminthes; Trematoda; Strigeidida; Schistosomatidae. The record is from RNAcentral.
AUCCAGCUAAUGAAUCCCAAAUAAGGCGAAAUGCACAUCCUGGAU